This 254-nucleotide ribosomal RNA is filed under the name uncultured bacterium. RNAcentral's name for it is "partial 16S ribosomal RNA". It matches the Rfam family "Bacterial small subunit ribosomal RNA", at positions 524 to 776 of the family's 1533-position model. The record is from RNAcentral.
UACGGAGGGGGGCUAGCGUUGUUCGGAAUUACUGGGCGUAAAGCGCGCGUAGGCGGCUUUGUAAGUUAGAGGUGAAAGCCCGGAGCUCAACUCCGGAACUGCCUUUAAGACUGCAUCGCUAGAAUUGUGGAGAGGUAAGUGGAAUUCCGAGUGUAGAGGUGAAAUUCGUAGAUAUUCGGAAGAACACCAGUGGCGAAGGCGACUUACUGGACACAUAUUGACGCUGAGGUGCGAAAGCGUGGGGAGCAAACAGG